This is a small nucleolar RNA of Carassius auratus (goldfish), 88 nucleotides long. Lineage: Eukaryota; Metazoa; Chordata; Actinopteri; Cypriniformes; Cyprinidae. The record is from Ensembl.
CUUGUCGGUGACGAGUUCGCAACCACAGUUUAGUAUUCGAGUUUAACGACCAUGAGAAUACUUUACGUGCACUACCAUCUGAGACAAA